Molecule: ribosomal RNA, 490 nt
Filed under: uncultured bacterium
Lineage: Bacteria
Description: partial 16S ribosomal RNA
Rfam family: Bacterial small subunit ribosomal RNA
Source: RNAcentral
AUUGAACGCUGGCGGCAUGCCUUACACAUGCCAGUCGAACGGCAGCAUGAUCUAGCUUGCUAGAUUGAUGGCGAGUGGCGAACGGGUGAGUAAUACAUCGGAACGUGCCCUGUAGUGGGGGAUAACUAGUCGAAAGAUUAGCUAAUACCGCAUACGACCUGAGGGUGAAAGUGGGGGACCGCAAGGCCUCAUGCUAUAGGAGCGUCCGAUGUCUGAUUAGCUAGUUGGUGAGGUAAAGGCUCACCAAGGCGACGAUCAGUAGCUGGUCUGAGAGGACGAUCAGCCAAACUGGAACUGAGACACGGCCCAGACUCCUACGGGAGGCAGCAGUGGGGAAUUUUGGACAAUGGGCGAAAGCCUGAUCCAGCAAUGCCGCGUGUGUGAAGAAGGCCUUCGGGUUGUAAAGCACUUUUGUCCGGAAAGAAAUGGCUCUGGUUAAUACCUGGGGUCGAUGACGGUACCGGAAGAAUAAGGACCGGCUAACUACGUG